CCACGCCGCCCCCGGCUCCCUCUCGGGCUCCUGUUCGUCCCGGGCGCCCCUCAGGGCCAUGGUGGGUGGCGGCCCGCGGCUGAGGGGCCGGAGCGCGGCUGCGGGAGGGGAGGGCGCGCAGGCCGCAGCCCCGUGCGCGGGGCGAUCCAUCAGCAGGACGGCUACUGCUGGGAAGAAUUCCUCCCCGGCGGGAUGAACCUCCAGUGACUCUUCUCGGGGGCCGGGGACGUCCCCCUCCCGUGCGGGCAGGGCCAUCGCUCAGCCCGGGGAUGAACUCUCCCUCACCCCCUGACCCCCUCUUCAACUCCGCACAUGCACCAAGGCGUGAACUGGGGCUCCGCGGGGCCCAGAGGCCUCCUACCCCCCUCCGCCUCAUUCCGGCUUCACGUCGGACAUAGGGGCUGGGGGAUGGCUGAGCUCAGCCCCACAGCAUCGUCACUGUCUUCUCUGACAUACAGCACCAAGCCGAAGAAGGCUUGUCUCCUGAACCUUGGCAGGAGCUUUGUCCCAUGCUGGAGGGUGCAGCCACCUCUUAACAAUUUAGACUUUAUCUCCUCCUGGCCUGGACCUUCCAGAACCAACCGGGGUCUCUCCCCUGCAGGACCUCACUGCCACUCUCAGAUUGUCCCUGGAUGCACAAACCAAAGUUAAACGGAGGAGUCACACUGGUGACAGAUGGGGAUGUCCCCUCUGUUUCGCAGGAGUGAGCAGUAGUUUUUGCUUGAUGGCUCUGGAAGCCCUUGCCAGGCUGAAGAGUUGUGCUGACAUCUCGGAGUCGUGUGACAAAGGGUGCAGAAGGUGUCAGUUCCUGUUUCUGAAUCAUCUGGUCUGACUAUGUUGUGCUGGGGGAAACAGAAGCACAAGGACAGCAGCUGAACCUUUGUGCUUUUCUGUAGGUUUUUUAUUUUUUUAAUUUUUUUAUUUUUCCAAGGAAGCUUUCAGUGUGCUCUCCUGCUGGGUCCUCAGGGAAUAACGUGCUCUGGCAAUUUAUUACACUGUCUCUAGGCAGAGCCUACCACUGCUAUAUCAGGGAAUUACUUAAGGAGUUACUCAGGUCCAGGUGGCUGUUUGAGAACUUAUAUCAAGAACUUACGUCACCUGCUUUCCCUUGUAGUUAAAUUUAGGUCCCUUCUUUUGGCUCAUUUCUCCUUUUAUCAGAGCAUAAUUUAACCACUGGUCACUGGAGACAAAGAGAAGCCUAAAUAAGCUUCAAAAUACAUCUGAGAAACUUUGCUGGGAAGAGCUAAGAAGCAAUUUUUUCUUCUGAAAAUCAAUGUCCUUUCACAAUGAGUCCAGUAACUUCUCUAUGUUGGAUGAAGGAAGUAGCAGACAGAAGAGAAGGAAAAAAUAGCAUGACAAGAGAUACCAGGAAGUCCAAGGGAAAGGUGAAGCAAAGGUAUUUUCUCACAUCAGAGAAGAAGAGACAAAACUUACCUUUCUUUACACUUAAACUCCUUGGUUCAGUUCACUGCUGCAUUCACAAAAAGGGACAGGAGGUACAGAGAGAGUGGCAUGGGUGACAGCAUCCUGUGUCCCAGGCCAGCAAGAUGGUCAGGUGCUCCAAAACUGUCACUGCAGGCUGGCAGAGGUGGUUAGGGUCUGGAAAGGAGGAUGUGAGAGACACAAUUCUUAAUACCACAGAACUUCCAAUCCCAGGUGCUGAUGGCAAUUUUCUACGGAAAAGCAGCUUGUGGAUGCUUUAAGUUUGUAUUGCAAUUAAAUGCAUGUUUUAGUGCUUUGGGCAUUUUUGUAAUAAUAAAAUGGCAGAUAUAGAAUAAAUCUAAGUACACUGGGACUCUGACUACUCGGGACUGCCUUUGUAGGGACUGGUGGUAGAGGUAUCUCUUUCUAUCCUGUGGGAUUAUCCAUAGAAUUCAGCUAGUGAUUACAAUGAAGCAUUUUAAGACAAACCAACGCCAGUGAUGGCUGCAAUGCAAAGUCUGCCCUGUAAACUGCAGUGUUUUGGGAGCUGAUUGACAAGCAGCUUAGACAUCUGGACACCAGGAGCAGAGCAGACAGCUGGAGCUGCCAACCUUUUCAGCUUAUCCUGAGGAACCUGUAAGACAGGUAAGACUGUGUGGUGCUGUGGACCAAUAGCGUUUCAGCUCAGAAACCCUGUGUUCACACUUGGAUAUGAGAUGUUCAUAACAGGCACUCAGAAAUGUAAGAGGUGUGCGAUGUCAAGAGCAGAGGAAAUUCAAAGUCCAUCCCAUUGUUGCCAUCUUUGUAUCUGCCUCUCCAAGUCUGGAAGUAAAACCAGCAAGCCAUAGUGCAGGGUUCCCAGUACCUCUGCCCAUCCUGGAAAUAAAAGGUAUUGGCAGACAAGUUUUCCCAUUGUGUUCAGUCUUUGGCCUCAAUGGUGCUCAUCUGUAUAUAGUAGGAUAUGGGAUCAUCCAGUGCACCAACUUCUUCCUUCCAGCUUUGGCCUCUACCAAAGCACAAUCCCUGCAUUAUCCACUGCCCACUGCUUCCUCCGAGACUUCCACAGGAGUGCCUAGGGAAGUCAAAUUAUGCUCCUAAAGUGCUGGCUGGCCCAGCAUAUAGAACAAGAUAUACUCUACAUAUCGUUAAAGGAAAUAGCAUUUAUACUUCUGCUGUUCAAGGAGUGCUAAGGUCUGCUCAGUAACUAGGUUAAGCCCUCCUUAUACUUCAGAUUCACAGAUUUCAGGGGGCCAGUUGAGGGCAUAUAUUCCCAAGAACUCAUUCAAUCAGACAAAAGCAAGAUGUUUAGGAAGUUUGUCCAGUCCUUUAAGUGACUUCAGCACUUCUUUCUCAGUGUACAUCCAGCAUGAAACAUUUCCUGCAAAAAAUUGUAGACAUUGAAGAGAAAAUUCAAAAAGGCAUGUAGGCACCUAACAUGUCACUCCAUCAGAAUGCAAUUGCCUGAAUUGAUGUCAUCCAUCUGAUUUCUUACACACCUGAAGAUGAGCUCCGGCAGGUACCUAGAAGUUUCUAACACAGCUCUGGUGACUGUCUCUGGAUCAAGUGCGUGCUGUUGAUGGUGCCUCUGGAUCACCCCCACCAGCUGAGCUUUGGUUUGCGUCCAGGAUCAAGGUCAGAACACACCAGCUGGCUUCCUCUUGGGUAAAAUCCAUCUGGAAAAGGCACUCUAGGAGCUCACUGAACAUGCCCAAGGCACACAUGGGUGUCUCAGCUUGAUGGAACCAGGAAGCACUAUUCCAAAAAGAGCGUCCUGAAGGAUGUGUGCCAUGGCCACGCGGGGCUCACUCCCAGCUCUUUCGCUGAACACAUCUGCUCCUAUUGGUCUGCGUGACAAGUGCAGGCACAGCCACUGUAGCUGUGCAGCUCGUCCCAGAGCUGACUGCAUGUGCACAUGUGUGCGCGGGGCCGUGUCACCUGCACACGCGUGCGUGCACAUGUGUGUGCACAUGUAAUUUAUCAUUUUUUUGUGUGUGACACACCAAAAAUAAUGUAUGAGCUCCCUCUGCUGCUUUAUACAAAGAAAUUAAUCAAGAAAAUUGCUUGCAAAGCUGAGAGCGUUUUAUUCAUAUCUUGCUGAUAAUGCUGUAUGCACAAGUAAUACUAAAAAUAAGUGUGUAUUAUGCUUGCAAAGCACUGUCCAAACAUUAAAUAA
Cyanistes caeruleus (blue tit) is the source of this 3595-nucleotide non-coding RNA. NCBI's taxonomy places the organism in Eukaryota, Metazoa, Chordata, Aves, Passeriformes, Paridae. The record is from RefSeq and is a predicted model, not a curated record.